CCGAAUGGGGAAACCCGGCCACUUUAGUGGUCAUCUGCACCUGAAUACAUAGGGUGUAGAAGCGAACCUGGAGAACUGAACCAUCUAAGUACCCAGAGGAAAAGAAAUCAACCGAGAUUCCCUUAGUAGCGGCGAGCGAAAGGGGACUAGCCAGUAAUCUUUAUCUUAGACGUCAGAGGAACGGUCUGGAAAGUCCGGCAAUACAAGGUGAUAGCCCUGUACUCGAAAGCGUUUUUGAAGAACUAAGUUUACAACAAGUAGGUCGGAGCACGUGAAACUUUGACUGAAGACGGGGGGACCAUCCUCCAAGGCUAAAU
Molecule: ribosomal RNA, 317 nt
Filed under: uncultured bacterium
Lineage: Bacteria
Description: bacterial LSU rRNA
Rfam family: Bacterial large subunit ribosomal RNA
Source: RNAcentral